AUUGAACGCUGGCGGCAUGCUUUACACAUGCAAGUCGAACGGUAACAGGAAGAAGCUUGCUGCCUUGCUGACGAGUGGCGGACGGGUCAGCAAUGCCUGGCCAACCGCCGGAUGGAGCGGGACAACUACUUGAAACAGUAGCCAAUACAUCAUAGCGUCGCAGGACCAAAGAGGGGGACCUUCGGGCCUCUUGCCAUCGGAUGUGCCCAGAUGUGAUUAGCUAGUAGGUGGGGUAACGGCUCACCUAGGCGACGAUCCCUAGCUGGUCUGAGAGGAUGACCAGCCACACUGGAACUGAGACACGGUCCAGACUCCUACGGGAGGCAGCAGUGGGGAAUAUUGGACAAUGGGCGCAAGCCUGAUGCAGCCAUGCCGCGUGCAGGAAGAAGGCCUUCGGGUUGUAAAGUACUUUCGGCCGGGAGGAAGCGGCUAUGGUUAAUACCCGUGGUCAUUGACGGUACCGGAAGAAGAAGCACCGGCUAACUCCGUG
RNAcentral lists this ribosomal RNA (490 nucleotides) under uncultured bacterium. RNAcentral's name for it is "partial 16S ribosomal RNA". It matches the Rfam family "Bacterial small subunit ribosomal RNA", at positions 30 to 507 of the family's 1533-position model. The record is from RNAcentral.